Molecule: long non-coding RNA, 157 nt
Organism: Etheostoma cragini (Arkansas darter)
Lineage: Eukaryota; Metazoa; Chordata; Actinopteri; Perciformes; Percidae
Exons: 3
Source: RefSeq, a predicted model, not a curated record
UGUGUGUGUGUUUGAGUGUUUGGCUCACACAUUGGUAAUGGAGAGAAAUGACACCAUCAUGGCAGAAUAUUCUCUCCCUCCUCCUUGUCUUAGUAGGGCAAGACUUGUGUGUGUGUGUGUGAAUAUGUGUGUGUUUGUGUGUGUGUGUGUGUGUGUG